CGUCCUGUUAAAGAGAAUCAAUCUCCUCCGUCGCCGCCGGCAUCCUGUGAUCCUCAGUCGCCGCCGGCAUCCCGUGCUCCUCCGUCGCUGUCAGCUUCCCGUCCUCCUCAGUCCCCGCCGGCGCCUAUUCUCCAGUACAGUCGGCGACGUCCUCUUUUUCCGACGACAGAAUCCCUACCUCCUGUAGCUCAACCAGUGGCGGCGUCUCCUACCCCAGUUGCAUCUUCCCUCGCCGGAACAGCCGGAACUCCAGCUCCAGUCGUUGCACCUCCUCCGGUCGUCGCCUCGGCCAUCGACGCCGCCCAGUCUUCCAAUCCAGUCCCAGUCACUCAUCCUCCACCG
This 342-nucleotide long non-coding RNA is filed under the name Rosa chinensis. Its description in RNAcentral is "sRNA RchiOBHm_Chr1g0347981". Lineage: Eukaryota; Viridiplantae; Streptophyta; Magnoliopsida; Rosales; Rosaceae. The record is from RNAcentral.